Molecule: unclassified non-coding RNA, 224 nt
Filed under: plant metagenome
Description: partial contains small subunit ribosomal RNA, internal transcribed spacer 1, and 5.8S ribosomal RNA
Source: RNAcentral
UUUCCGUAGGUGAACCUGCGGAAGGAUCAUUAGUGAAUUGAAUAUGUUAGCGGACCUCUUCGGAGUCCCUAGCAUCAAAUCAUAUCCAUAACACCUGUGAACUGUAAGGCUGUCUUGAAAACGAAAGUGAUUAGAGCGCCGCCCAUUUUAUACAAACAUUAAAGUAACAAACGUAGUCUUAUUAUAAUCUAAUAAAACUUUCAACAACGGAUCUCUUGGCUCUC